AAUCAACGCUGGCGGCGUGCCUCAGACAUGCAAGUCGAACGAUUAAAGCUCUCUUCGGAGAGUGUAUAGAGUGGCGCACGGGUGAGUAACACGUAAGUAAUCUACCUUUGAGUGGGGAAUAACAGUCGGAACGACUGCUAAUACCGCAUAAUGCAGCGGCACCGCGAGGUGACAGUUGUUAAAGGAGCAAUUCGCUUAAAGAGGAGCUUGCGGCAGAUUAGCUUGUUGGUAAGGUAACGGCUUACCAAGGCUACGAUCUGUAUCCGGUCUUAGAGGACGGUCGGACACACUGACACUGAAUAACGGGUCAGACUCCUACGGGAGGCAGCAGUCGGGAAUUUUGGGCAAUGGGCGAAAGACCUGACCCACGCAACGCCGCGUGAAGGAUGAAGUAUUUCGGUA
Molecule: ribosomal RNA, 402 nt
Filed under: uncultured bacterium
Lineage: Bacteria
Description: bacterial SSU rRNA
Rfam family: Bacterial small subunit ribosomal RNA
Source: RNAcentral